RNAcentral lists this small nuclear RNA (24 nucleotides) under Arabidopsis thaliana (thale cress). Its description in RNAcentral is "snRNA_14626". Lineage: Eukaryota; Viridiplantae; Streptophyta; Magnoliopsida; Brassicales; Brassicaceae. The record is from RNAcentral.
UCAUGAGCUGACAUAGCUUUAGUC